CCUUGUUGGAGGGGAUGGGCCGCCCUCCACUCCUCACCAUCUCUGUUCCCAUACAGGAAAGCUAUCUGCGGGAGGGGAGGGCCCUGGCCUGACGGCAGUCCAGGAAUAGGUAGGCAUGGCAGGGCCAGGGGCAGGCGCGGUUCCUUGGCCUCUGCAGAAGAGAGCGCUUCAGCGCUCGGCUCGCCCUAGGUGAACGGCCAUGGCGGGCUGGAUCCAGGCCCAGCAGCUGCAGGGAGACGCGCUGCGCCAGAUGCAGGUGCUGUACGGCCAGCACUUCCCCAUCGAGGUCCGGCACUACUUGGCCCAGUGGAUUGAGAGCCAGCCAUGGGAUGCCAUUGACUUGGACAAUCCCCAGGACAGAGCCCAAGCCACCCAGCUCCUGGAGGGCCUGGUGCAGGAGCUGCAGAAGAAGGCGGAGCACCAGGUGGGGGAAGAUGGGUUUUUACUGAAGAUCAAGCUGGGGCACUAUGCCACGCAGCUCCAGAAAACGUAUGACCGCUGCCCCAUGGAGCUGGUCCGCUGCAUCCGGCACAUUCUGUACAAUGAACAG
Molecule: small RNA, 550 nt
Filed under: Pongo abelii (Sumatran orangutan)
Lineage: Eukaryota; Metazoa; Chordata; Mammalia; Primates; Hominidae
Description: retained intron
Source: RNAcentral